Molecule: ribosomal RNA, 429 nt
Filed under: Gemmatimonadota bacterium
Lineage: Bacteria; Pseudomonadati; Gemmatimonadota
Description: Gemmatimonadetes bacterium partial 16S ribosomal RNA
Rfam family: Bacterial small subunit ribosomal RNA
Source: RNAcentral
UAGGGAAUCUUCGGAAAUGGACGAAAGUCUGACCGAGCAACGCCGCGUGAGUGAAGAAGGUUUUCGGAACGUAAAACUCUGUUGUUAGAGAAGAACAAGGACGUUAGUAACUGAACGUCCCCUGACGGUAUCUAACCAGAAAGCCACGGCUAACUACGUGCCAGCAGCCGCGGUAAUACGUAGGUGGCAAGCGUUGUCCGGAUUUAUUGGACGUAAAGCGAGCGCAGGCGGUUUCUUAAGUCUGAUGUGAAAGCCCCCGGCUCAACCGGGGAGGGUCAUGGGAAACUGGGAGACUUGAGUGCACAAGAGGAGAGUGGAAUUCCAUGUGUAGCGGUGAAAUGCGUAGAUAUAUGGAGAAACACCAGUGGUGAAGGCGGCUCUCUGGUCUGUAACUGACGCUGAGGCUCGAAAGCGUGGGGAGCAAACAGG